GACCGCGGGUGUCGGGACCGUGGGCUCCACUGAGGAGCCCACCGAAUCCUUCGGCCUGGCCAGGCGGGGGGUCUUCUUCCCAGUCCGCGGAAGCCAGGUCCGGGAGACGGCGGGGCUCACUGUGCCUUCGGACCUACACUCUGCUCGGGGGCCGGAUUUCUGCAAAGCGUCCACUUGGAAAGAAGUUUCACUUGCAGGGAAGGCGGGUGUACGCAAUGAUGGUCCGUGUGUCCGGGAUGUGAAUGCCAACCAAGACUGCGUCCGUUGGUGGAGUGUGCGCGGGUCCUCCGUGAGGGUGCUUCUGGCAGUCACAGUUCACGAGUUAGCGAGAAGAUGGCUGGGAGGCGGCGAGCCCCCGCUCCCGGGGCGCGCAUUUCGAACUCCAUAGGUCUCCCGUGGAGAGCAGCCCAGACCCGGCCACACUCAGUGAGGAGGAAGUGCGCCUCCUGCUGGCUGCACUGGUGCAGGACUAUGUGCAGAUGAAGGCCAGUGAGCUGGAGCAGGAGCAGGAGACAGAGCUCCAGUUUCAGUUCUUGCCGGAGAGUUUCCAGAUUUCUCCUCCUGAUGGCCUGUUCUGUGGAUUUUGGAUUUGCCAAGGCAGCCCUCACAAUCCGUGAAAACAUGAAAACAGAAUUUCAACUGAUUCAGCACAAAAGAUUACAAUAACCUAAUAUGAUCAUUGGAAAAGAAUGAAUCAGAAUCUUGGCUUCUAUUGAAGAACAGACAUUACCUUGUAGGUAUCCCCCGCCACAAAAAAGCCAGAAAAAAUCUGAUGACAAUAGAGAAUGACGUAAAAAAUUUUUUAAUGCUAAAGAUUGAACUGUAAAAAACUCUCCUGAAUUGUGCCCUAAACCUAUGUGUUCCAAAAAAAGUUUGAAGGCUUAUUCCAUCUGCAUCAUCUGGGUACUUGUAAAGACAUAUACAUAUCCCCAGGCUCCAUCCUAUGCCAACCAAAUCACCAGGGGUCAGGUCUGAGUAUUAAAUAUUUACCAGGAGAUUCUGACGCACAACGACUUUUGGGAAGUAGCACUCAACUGUCAGUGCUUAUGUCAUAUCCUUUCUUUCCUUCAUCUCAUUGGUCAAGGUCAGGUUUCUGCAGGAAGCUCUCUGUGUUUUUUUUUUUUUACCUGCUGGCAAAUUUCUGCGGUUCCUUUUGUUUACUAACUCCCUUAUCUUAAUAUGGCAUUUAAUCAGAGUAUGUUAGUUUAUGAAACCAUGAAAUUGGGUUUGGAAAAUAGUGGAGAAAAGUAAAACAAUAUUUAAUUUCUUCCCAUAUUGGAUCUUUAGAUCCUGCUUUGCUACAUUAGUUCAGGCAUUCUCUCACAUAGAACAACAGGCAUAUUAAUAUUCAAAUGCAAAUCUGAAUGUAACCCACAUCACUGGCAAGAAAGAUCCUAGCAUGUAGUUUCCUGGGAAGAUAUCAUAGCUCACUUGGAUUAAACAACAGCUAAGGAUUUUCCAACUGAUAAGCUUGAUAUAAUAAAGUUCCUGACCUAAUGCUUUAGGUUUAAUUAACAGUACCACUUUAGGCUUAGAACAAAGGUCUAAUCCUCAGGAUCCAAAGUUCAAAUCCCAGUUGUACUAUUAAAUGGGAUUUUAGGAAAUUUGCUUCACUUUUUCACAUCUAGAUUUUCUGAUUAGUAAAAUGAAGAUACAGUAUGUCAUACUGAAACAAUAACAAUAGCUAAUAGUCAUUAGACGCUAUGCUAAAUGGAAGGCAAGUGGGAAAACAAAAUGAAUUGUUUCUCAUCCAUUGAAGAAAUAUUGGCAAGGUGUGGUGCCUCAUGCCUGUAAUCCCAGUGC
Molecule: long non-coding RNA, 1803 nt
Filed under: Homo sapiens (human)
Lineage: Eukaryota; Metazoa; Chordata; Mammalia; Primates; Hominidae
Description: HSALNT0361545
Source: RNAcentral